GACUUUCCAGGAAGGCCUGCUGUGCCCAGCACCCACGCCUGCCGCUUGCAGGAUAGCCAGGCCCUAAGACAUUAAGGUUUCCAGAACAGUCGAGCUGACCCUCCCCCUCCAGCCUUCUGAAAUAUUUAUCUCGAUCCAACACAGGAGCCUGGUACAAGGUACAAAUGACCUUCAGGGCAGGGAGAACACAGCCAGAGGGACAGAAGCAGCAGGCAGCCUGUCGGCCAGGCUGCUGCAAUCUUGGAGUUGAGUCACCCUGGCCUGCUUCCCUAGGAAAACAGAAUUCAAGCUGGUCAGAAAUGGUGCUUCUCCUUUCUCCAUGCCUGCUUCAGCCCUCGGCCUUCCAUGCACACAAAGAUGCAAACACACUUAUUCUCUGCUUCGUGGUGCCGAGGUCUCCGUGUUGAUACCCUUCGCCAUAGCUUGGAGAUGCAGAUCAGCUGCCAUGGUGGUCAGAAUGGAUUUUAGAACAGCGACCACUCCACAGCUCCUGCACAGUAAGCACUGGCCGGUUUCAUCUUGUUCUGCAGCUGGUUGUGGGCCGGUUGCUUGGCCCUCAUCAACUCCUCCGCUAUGGAAAACAUCAGGCCAAGUGCGGAGGGAAGACGAAGGCUCCCUGUGGACUAUCCGAUGCUUGCCCAGUUUUGGUUCCAGAAUGAAGAAGGCUUCUGCCAGGAGACACAAGAAACAUUCCACUGCACCGGAAGCUGAGAUUUUCUCCUCCUUAUGUUGGGUUUCCAAUAAACUUAACCUAACAGGCUAAAAUAAAAAUAGCUGUUAGGAGGCGUGACUGACCCAGAGCUGCUAUCCCUUAGGGCUGCUGAGAGGUGCUCCCAUCCCCUGGACCGCUUCUCCACAAAGGAGAUGAGGAAGAUUGUGUCUGGGGUGUAGGAGAUCCUUUAGGGUGUUCGCUUGGUAUUACCAUAUCCUGUGAUUAAGGUCAACGGGAAACUACAAUUCAAUCCAGGCAGAGUGAUAAAUGACCCUGACCCUUCAAGAAUGAAUAUACGGGUCACCCCUCAAAGGCAAAGAAUAAGACUUGCUGAGGUUCUUGCUUAGGGGAGGAAAUACAGAAUGAGGAAGAGGAAGGUAGUAGCUAUGAAUACCAGCCAAGGUCACGUGACUAAUGACAGAAAUGUGGAAAGUCAAGGCAGGAACCUAGAGGCAGAAACUAAAGCAAAAGAAUUUUUUACAUGACCUGGGCUCAUGUUUCUUAUACCUCUUAGGGUUGCCUGCUUAGGGUGGCACUGCCCACAGGGGCUGGGCCUCUCACAUUGAUCAUUAAUCAAGAAAAUGGCCCACAGACUUACCUUCAGGCCAGUCUGAUGGAGGUGUUUCCUCAGCCUGAGGCUCCCUCUCCCAGGUGACACUAGCUUUUCUUAGGUUGACGAAGUACUAUCAGGUGCAAACAUUGUUUAUGCUUAUAUGCACAUAUAGUAAGCCGAUGUUUGUGUUUCCUUGCCUCUGUUGUUUAUCAGGUAAUAUAACAC
This is a long non-coding RNA of Mus musculus (house mouse), 1490 nucleotides long. RefSeq annotates it as predicted gene, 40397. The record is from RefSeq and is a predicted model, not a curated record. Lineage: Eukaryota; Metazoa; Chordata; Mammalia; Rodentia; Muridae. The transcript has 3 exons.